CCUACGGGGGGCAGCAGUGGGGAAUAUUGCACAAUGGGCGCAAGCCUGAUGCAGCCAUGCCGCGUGUGUGAAGAAGGCCUUCGGGUUGUAAAGCACUUUCAGCGGGGAGGAAGGCGUUAAGGUUAAUAACCUUGGCGAUUGACGUUACCCGCAGAAGAAGCACCGGCUAACUCCGUGCCAGCAGCCGCGGUAAUACGGAGGGUGCAAGCGUUAAUCGGAAUUACUGGGCGUAAAGCGCACGCAGGCGGUCUGUCAGGUCGGAUGUGAAAUCCCCGGGCUCAACCUGGGAACUGCAUUCGAAACUGGCAGGCUAGAGUCUUGUAGAGGGGGGUAGAAUUCCAGGUGUAGCGGUGAAAUGCGUAGAGAUCUGGAGGAAUACCGGUGGCGAAGACGGCCCCCUGGACAAAGACUGACGCUCAGGUGCGAAAGCGUGGGGAGCAAACAGGAUUAGAUACCCGGGUAGUC
RNAcentral lists this ribosomal RNA (465 nucleotides) under uncultured Klebsiella sp. RNAcentral describes it as "bacterial SSU rRNA". It matches the Rfam family "Bacterial small subunit ribosomal RNA", at positions 338 to 795 of the family's 1533-position model. Lineage: Bacteria; Pseudomonadati; Pseudomonadota; Gammaproteobacteria; Enterobacterales; Enterobacteriaceae. The record is from RNAcentral.